This 431-nucleotide ribosomal RNA is filed under the name bacterium. RNAcentral describes it as "bacterial SSU rRNA". It matches the Rfam family "Bacterial small subunit ribosomal RNA", at positions 354 to 776 of the family's 1533-position model. RNAcentral also lists the same sequence under 3 other names. The record is from RNAcentral.
GUAGGGAAUCUUCCGCAAUGGACGAAAGUCUGACGGAGCAACGCCGCGUGAGUGAUGAAGGCUUUCGGGUCGUAAAACUCUGUUGUUAGGGAAGAACAAGUGCUAGUUGAAUAAGCUGGCACCUUGACGGUACCUAACCAGAAAGCCACGGCUAACUACGUGCCAGCAGCCGCGGUAAUACGUAGGUGGCAAGCGUUAUCCGGAAUUAUUGGGCGUAAAGCGCGCGCAGGUGGUUUCUUAAGUCUGAUGUGAAAGCCCACGGCUCAACCGUGGAGGGUCAUUGGAAACUGGGAGACUUGAGUGCAGAAGAGGAAAGUGGAAUUCCAUGUGUAGCGGUGAAAUGCGUAGAGAUAUGGAGGAACACCAGUGGCGAAGGCGACUUUCUGGUCUGUAACUGACACUGAGGCGCGAAAGCGUGGGGAGCAAACAGG